This is a long non-coding RNA of Brachypodium distachyon (stiff brome), 793 nucleotides long. RefSeq lists it as uncharacterized. The transcript is spliced from 2 exons. The record is from RefSeq and is a predicted model, not a curated record. NCBI's taxonomy places the organism in Eukaryota, Viridiplantae, Streptophyta, Magnoliopsida, Poales, Poaceae.
UUUGGUUUAAGUAUCUCCUACAAUUGUUUUGUUAAUUUAGGAGUUUGGUUUAAGUAUGCUUCAUUCGACUUUUGGAUUUAAGGGCCUGUUUGGAUCACUACCAACGCUGGCCUUACCAAUAAAUUGGUCAGCCCGUGAUUUUCGGCCACUGUUUGGAUCGAUGCCAAAUUUGGCUCGCCCUGCUCGAGCGCGGCCCUGUGUAAAUUUCGCCAACGCGAGGGCGCCGCGAGGGCGUGGAAAACGUCCGCCAAAAUUUUGGCGACCAAAUCGGACGUGAUUUCUCGUCCUGGCAUAGAAGCUAAGCUAAGCAUCAAUUUCCUUUUCCAUUACUUUCUCUCCUAAACUGCAGUGCUGCACACCGCGAGGACAACAGAGAAGGCCCUCAGAUCUGCAGCGUCGCCGGUCGGCCGGCGGUGUGAACCGGCGUCUCCACCUUUCUUCCUCUCCUCUCCACGGAUUCAAGUUGCACCCCAAGACAGCAUCCAUCGACAUUGCUCAAAGGACAUGGCUGACAUCAUAUUGAGCUUCAUAAGGACAAAUCAGUGACUUUCAAGUUCAAGAAACAACACCACCUGCAGUGUGGAGAUGCUCUGAAUGGCAAGUUUUCUCAGACUUGGGUGCAUAGCAGGUCAUAGUGUCUUAAAUGAUCUCGAAUUGUUUGGUGAUGGGUGUGUUAGUUUAUGAACCUGAUUUUGUUUUCACGGCUAGAUCUGGUGUUUGAAUAUUGUAUGGCCUAAUAUAUGAAUCGAUGUUGUUGUGAAUUUUCAGUAUGCAGUGGUACUAUAUUCAGUCA